This 551-nucleotide ribosomal RNA is filed under the name Mycobacterium scrofulaceum. RNAcentral's name for it is "bacterial SSU rRNA". It matches the Rfam family "Bacterial small subunit ribosomal RNA", at positions 44 to 601 of the family's 1533-position model. Lineage: Bacteria; Bacillati; Actinomycetota; Actinomycetes; Mycobacteriales; Mycobacteriaceae. The record is from RNAcentral.
GUGCUUAACACAUGCAAGUCGAACGGAAAGGCCCCUUCGGGGGUACUCGAGUGGCGAACGGGUGAGUAACACGUGGGCAAUCUGCCCUGCACUUCGGGAUAAGCCUGGGAAACUGGGUCUAAUACCGGAUAGGACCACUUGGCGCAUGCCUUGUGGUGGAAAGCUUUUGCGGUGUGGGAUGGGCCCGCGGCCUAUCAGCUAGUUGGUGGGGUGAUGGCCUACCAAGGCGACGACGGGUAGCCGGCCUGAGAGGGUGUCCGGCCACACUGGGACUGAGAUACGGCCCAGACUCCUACGGGAGGCAGCAGUGGGGAAUAUUGCACAAUGGGCGCAAGCCUGAUGCAGCGACGCCGCGUGGGGGAUGACGGCCUUCGGGUUGUAAACCUCUUUCACCAUCGACGAAGGCUCACUUUGUGGGUUGACGGUAGGUGGAGAAGAAGCACCGGCCAACUACGUGCCAGCAGCCGCGGUAAUACGUAGGGUGCGAGCGUUGUCCGGAAUUACUGGGCGUAAAGAGCUCGUAGGUGGUUUGUCGCGUUGUUCGUGAAAUC